This 70-nucleotide transfer RNA is filed under the name Urocitellus parryii (Arctic ground squirrel). Its description in RNAcentral is "Spermophilus parryii (Arctic ground squirrel) tRNA". It matches the Rfam family "tRNA". From Rfam's summary of the family: Transfer RNA (tRNA) molecules are approximately 80 nucleotides in length. Their secondary structure includes four short double-helical elements and three loops (D, anti-codon, and T loops). RNAcentral also lists the same sequence under 1 other name. The record is from Rfam by way of RNAcentral. Lineage: Eukaryota; Metazoa; Chordata; Mammalia; Rodentia; Sciuridae.
GGGGAUAUAGCUCAGUUGAUAGAGUGCUUGCUUUGCAUGCACAAGGUCCUGGGUUCAAUCCCCAGCACCA